RNAcentral lists this ribosomal RNA (466 nucleotides) under uncultured bacterium. Its description in RNAcentral is "partial 16S ribosomal RNA". It matches the Rfam family "Bacterial small subunit ribosomal RNA", at positions 28 to 505 of the family's 1533-position model. The record is from RNAcentral.
GACGAACGCUGGCGGCGUGCUUAACACAUGCAAGUCGAACGCAAAGGCCCUGCUUUUGUGGGGUGCUCGAGUGGCGAACGGGUGAGUAACACGUGAGUAACCUGCCCCUGACUUUGGGAUAACUUCAGGAAACUGGGGCUAAUACCGGAUAGGAGCUCCUCCUGCAUGGUGGGUGGUGGAAAGUAUGGGCGGUUGGGGAUGGACUCGCGGCGUAUCAGCUUGUUGUUGGGGUGGUGGCUUACUAAGGCUUUGACGGGUAGUCGGCCUGAGAGGGUGACCGGCCACAUUGGGAAUGAUAUACGGCGCAGAAGCAUAGGGGAGGAAGCAGUGGGGAAUAUUGGACAAUGGGCGCAAGGCUGAUGCAGCAACGCCGCGUGCGGGAUGACGGCCUUCGGGUUGUAAUGCGCUUUCGCCUACAACGAAGGGGGAGUGACGGUAAGGGAUAAAGACGCAGCGUCUAACCACG